RNAcentral lists this long non-coding RNA (2733 nucleotides) under Mus musculus (house mouse). RNAcentral describes it as "predicted gene 20544". The record is from RNAcentral. Lineage: Eukaryota; Metazoa; Chordata; Mammalia; Rodentia; Muridae.
AGUUACUGCCACCCUCUCCCAGGUCUAGAGAGGGGUACCCACGGUGGAGGGAGGUGGGAGGCCGAGACGGCCCCGGGGGUCGGCGGAGACCCAGCGGGAGCAGGGGGAAAUCGGAAGAGCUGGGGGCAUGGAGCGGGCGAGUUUGGAGCGGAAUGAGCCGGGAGCCCUACGUUGUGGAAGGAAGACAACAGUAUAGGACCAUCAGCAGGACCGGACAGAGAGGGGCACGGUUUCUCUGUAUAGCCCUGGCUGUCCUGGAACUUGUAGACCAGGCUGGCCUUGAACUCAGAAAUCCGCCUGCCUCUGACUCCCGAGUGCUGAGAUUAAAGGUGUGCACCACCACACCCGACAAGGAAGCCUGUUUUAAGAAGUGAUUCCAUGGAGGAGUUCUGCGGCGGCUCAGGGCUUGACUAAACAGUGGACCUCAGGGUCCCAUUUCUCUCAGUAGACAAGAGAGGCUAAACCAGGCUGCAGGUGACAGGAAGAAUUGAAUAAACUGAAAGCAAAGGGCAGCCUUCUAAUUACGCUUCGUGGCUAUGUGGACAACCUGGAGAAGUCUGGAAACAAGCCAGAAGCCCGAAGCCAGCAGUAGAGCUCUGACUGGCUUGUAUGCCUAGAAAGGAAGGGCUCUUCUUUCGCCUCACGGGCACAAAUGGGACCCACGAGCGCCGAUUUCAGACUAUUCUGAUCCCUUCAAAAAGAAAGUUAGGAGUCCAGGCUACUUCACUUUGGUGAUAGUAAUCAAACCCUAAUCACGGUGCAGCCACAAGUCACAGAGACCGAAAUAGCAGACUUAUGACAGACAAGGAUGGAGACAGCUAAGGAACUGGCUAUUAAUCACCAGUCCCUCUGCUCACAGCCCAUUGGACCCGAGGGUGAAGGAUGAGGAGGAUGGAAGAAAAUGGGAGUGGCGCUUGCUGCAAAGGGUCUCGAAGGGUCUCAGCACCUGCGAACUGGCUCCAAUCCAAACUCCACUAUUCAUGGUCAAGUUCACAUAGGGCUUGGGGUUCUAACAAGAUGUGACUAAACUUACGUUUUCUAUCUUAUUGAUUGUUGUUGAUGCACGUCUGGUGGUACAUGCUUGAAGAACACAGACACCCUGAGAAGAAAGACAUAGCUCCCCAGAUUCCAGCACGCACUUCUCUGUGAGCUACCACUGUAGCUGAAGAUACAGGGCUCAGGAGGAACACUUGGCCUUCGCUCUGAACUUCAGGCCCACGUAACCAUCAGCCGACAUGACACUGCAAAGGCACCUUAGCUCUGCUGUCCCAGAUGGCCAAGCCAACCUUAUUCCAGAAGCUACUUCUCCUGAUGUAAGAACCAGACACAAAGGACAACCUCUGCCUCACCCUCCUUCACACAACACUGAGUCUGUCAUCUUUGAAGCAUUUCUCAAGCCAUGUUUAUUCCCCUGGCCUACGUGGAACACAGCCAGGGUACGGAACACAACCUCAGCACCGGUCUGCUUUCCUCUCCCCAUUUCUGGUCUUUCUCAGAUGCCCAGAGCUCCUCUGUCCCAAUGACUGCUUAUCAAAGAUCUCACUGUGUCCCCACCCAAGGGGUCUUUGGCCACCCUGUGAAGUCCUAGUGGCCUGGAGUUUGCCCCCUUUCCCAGACACCUUAGGGUUCCUGCUGCAGCUCCAGAACUGGGGGAGCAGGGUUGGGGGUGAGUGUGUGUGUGUGUGUGUGUGUGUGUGUGUGUGUGUGUGUUGACUCACCCUGCAGUAUUCUCUCCAUCUGCACAGGUCCCCAGUCUCUGAGACUGAAUCACCCCUCUUUCACUAUGCCUCUGCACAGCUGCCCUUGUGCUCCCUCUCCUUGCCCCGCCUCUUUUUAAGACAGUAUUAUGCAGCCCUGGCUGUCCUGGAACUUAUGUAAACCAGCCUGGCCUUGAACUUGCAGAGAUCCACCUGCCUUUGCCUCUGCCCCUGCCCCUGCCCCUGCCCCUGCCCCUGCCCCUGCCCCUGCCUUUCUGCCUCUGCCUCUGCCUCUCUGCCUUUCUGCCUCUGCCUCUCUGCCUCUGCCUCUCUGCCUCUGCCUCUCAAGUGUCAGGGAUUAAUGCCUGCCACCUCCCCAGUCCCACCCCUCUCCAUCUACCAUGUGGGUUCCACGGGGCAAACCCAAGUCAUCAGGCUUGUUGGCCAGUGCCUUUAUCCACUGAGCCAAGCCGCUUGGUGUGUCUUUGAUGGUGAUUAUUUACAGGAGCUAUUCAGCAAGGUUAAAUGCUGGCAACCCAAUGAGGGGGUCUCUUGAUCCAAAACUGAGAAGUUGAGGCACUAUUUCAGAAUGACCAAAGACAGUAGAAGAAUCUAGAUAUGUCGAUGAUGAGAACAAUGAUAACUCCAAAAGCUGAGGGAAAUUAACUCAAAAUCUUCCAGCUUCCUUUUCCUUACCUAGUUUGGCGGACUCCAACUCUUGGGAUAGCUUUUUUUCUGGCCCCAAACUCACCUGAUUCGUCUGUCCACUGCCACACUGAAGAAUGAACAGCUGUCUCAGAGAGCUUGGCUCCAGAGCUCUGCAAAAAGAGGACACCUUGCCUUGAGCUGUGUUUCCAGAAUGUAUUGCAGCCCCCAGAGUCAUGUACUGUGACCAGGUGAGGACAUGCAUCUUCUGUUCUCCUGCACCCAGGGCCCCAGCAACCAAGGAUCUGGGGACAUGGCGGGUGUUUGGCAGGUUCGCACUCUGAAAAUAUUUGAUGAGACUCAGUAUAUGCUAAAUAAACACUGGAUCAAG